CUUGACUUUGUGAUCCACCCACCUCGGCCUCCCAAACUGCUGGAACUACAGGUGUGAGCCACUGCACCCGGCCAACUUAAUCACCUCUUAAAGGUUCCACCUCUUAAUUUUGGAAGUGGCAUUCAAGCCAUAGCAACAAGUAUAAGUAAUUUAACUGGAGCUGUGCAAAGACCAGUUGGAAGGCCAUCCUAAUGAUCCAGCUGGAAGGUGUUGGGCAUAUGAACCAGAGUGAGAAUGUAAAAGAGGGGCCAGUGUCAUAAUGCAGGCCUGGUCCUCAAUACAAUUGUUAGGAAUUGACAUCUAAGAUAAUGAUGUAAAAUUUUAUUUUGAGUCACAUAGCCAUCCAGAAUACAUGUUGAGAACAGAUAAGGUGAAAAGAGGGCAACUAGCAUGUCAGCUUGUAUGGUGUGUAGAACUUCGUCUUAUAAAAGGCAGGCUGAGGACUACCUGCCUUGGAAUCUCCUGGGAGGCAUGCCAGGAGUUCUUGGGCUACACACAAUUCAGUCAUCUUGCUAGGCCUUAAAGUGUGCGAUCACUGGGUUAGAAUUCCAAUAUAAUGGUACCAAAGAGAUUAGGAUGCUUCCUGGGUGGACUCUUAGUUUGAGAUUGCCCUCGCAAUUCCAGCUCUUCUAUCUUGGACCUGAGUCAGCCGAGGUUAGAAUAAAGAGGGUUUAAAGCAAGACUUUUAUUCCUGCUAGAAAAUAGCUCUAAAUUUAUGCCUACAUUUUAGUAGGUCUUACAUGUCUCUUUUUCAUAUUAAAGACAAUGAGUAUCUAUAGCUCUGAAACCUCUCUGGGAUCUCAGGCCCCUUCACUUUUGUAAAAAUUAGGCCCCCAAAGGGCUUUUGUUUAUGUGGCUUGUAUGUAUCAACAUGUGCCCUGUCAGAAAUUAAAGCCAUGUUAGAAAUUUUUAUAAAAGAAUAAUAAACUCCUAACAUUAAUAUAAAAAAGCAUUUUUUAUAAAAAUCAACAAUUUAAAAAAAAUAGUGAGAAGAUUGGAAAAUCUUUUCAAUCUAGUUUAAUAGAAGAGGGCUGGAUUCUCACAUCUGCUUCACUUUUAAUCUGUUGUUAUAUGUGUUUGGGUUGAAGUACAUAAAGAAUGUCUAGUCUCACGUAGAUAAUUCAAAAAGAGAGGCAUGUUUUAGUAACCUUUUUAGGUAACUGUUGACUGUCUUAUUUGAUGCUACACUGAAAUUCUUCAACAGGUGGUUUCUUAAACAUCAGUUGUAAUGCAGAAUCUGAAAACCUUAUCAGGGAACUUUUUAUACUUAGUUAAUUAACUUGCAUUGGUCUCUCUUGUAUUUGAAUGUAUUUUUUAUCUAUGCAUAGUUUUGUAAAAUCAUGCCAUUGGUCAUUUGGAAAAUAUUGGUUCACUAGGAAGUGUAGAGCUUCUAAAUGUUUACAGAUUACUUUAUGAAUAUCUGUCUGUUAAUAUCACCACCAGUCUCAUCAUUGAAAAGCUGUCAAGCUCACUCAAAACUUAGCUGAAACAAAUUUUCUAAGAUUCUAGCUUUUGCUUGAAAACAAAUUUUAUCACUGACAACAAAUACUAUCAUUUGUUUUCCUUGAAAUGUCAGGCUUAUGCAUCUAGUUUUGGGAAAAUGUCUAUCAAAUACUCAAAUCUGAAUAAUAAUAGUUUGUCAGUUGAAAUUUCAAGUAAAAAUGGAGUUGUGUGUAAAAAAAAAAAAAAAAGUAGCUUACAAUUCAAACAGUUGUAUAGGUCCUUAUUGUCCAGUCAACCAUCUACUUUGGUAUGUAACAACAGUGUAUUUUGCUUACUUCCCAUUUAGUCACAUAGAAUAUUUUAAAAGGCGUGUUCAAGAGCUAAUUUAAUAAAACUAAUAACCUUUAUGCUGCAUUAAGGGAAUUCUCAGGUGAAACUGGCUUUUUCUCCCCCUGCAAGUAUGUGGUAGUUAAGAAUACGGUGACUACUUGUUUGUCACCAGUACCUCUGUGAGUGUUGAGUCACCUUUACCCACCUUUGCUUUUGUACCAUAUGUGAAAACAGCAAAUAAUGUCUUAGUGUAAUUACUAACGUAGUUUUGUUCUCCUAUGUCUUCCAAAAGGGUCUUGAAGACUUACCUUUUGAGAACCGCUGCUUAAUGUUGGCAGACUUACUGGCUGUCUUCUGCUAAGUACAUCAUUGUUACAUAAACCAAGUCUUAGUUUUUACUUCCAUUAAUAAGGAUUGUAUUUUUUGUGGUCUCUGCUUUAGAGCCACCAGCUAGUCAAAUGGCUUAAAGUGACACUUACAUGCUCUUCUUUGGGUAGCUGAGGGAGGCCCUGUUGGUGUCCCAGCCAUAACUCCAUUUCUGUGGGUAUAGCCUGUGCCUUGAGGGUGAGAGUUGGGGUCUCUGACUACUUCAAUUUGCUUUGCCUGGGUGCUUUGGGCAAACCAGAGGUGCUAGGAAAUUAAAGCCUGCCUUCCUCAACAGCCCCCAAGCCACCACUGAUAGGCAAUUGGGCAGAGUCAGGAGAGGUGGCUAAGACACAACCCCUUUACCCCUAGCAUCUGUUCUGUGCUAUAGCUCCCAGUGUUCCAGCAGGAUUAAACUCGGAGUCUCUGGCUUGAUAAACCCUCCUUUUGUGCAUUAUUAUCUCUUCCUCUGUUUUACAUCCAACUCUGCCACUGGUGCUUCUCGUAGUCACCUCUCAAACUUUAUACUGGGGGAAUUAAAAAUAAGGCAAAAUAAGGUUUCUUUGCUGACUAUCUUCUAGCCUUUAGGGGAAGGAAGAACAUUUUUUUCUUCUUUUCUCAGAACAUUUUCUUAUGGUAGAUGUCUAAUAAAUAUAGAAAUACCUUACUAAAUGAAUCUUUUAGGCUAUGCAGUUAGCCGUACAUACAGAAGUGUGUGGAGUAUUUGUGCUUGGCAGUUUGGACCUGGAGGAAGUGCAGGUAUGGGUGGUUGGCAUUGUUCACCGUAAGUAUUAACAGGCAGUGAGUGGGAGACAGGAUCCUUAAGCAGCACAAGACCACCCCAGGUAUUUUCCUCAGGGCUCUAUAAUAAUUAUUAAUUGCUGGAUCCAGUCUAGACACUCUGCCUGAUUUACAAAGCCAUCCAUAUUCUGUUUUCACACUAGCCAUUUACUUGUCAAUAACUCAGAUUUUCUGUUUCACACUCAUUCUCUUCACUGUGCCCCACCCAUAAGCCACCUGUUCCUAAUUUCCUCCAAGCUUAUGCUUUGCUGCCCACCCCCAACCCAUUGGAUGCCUUGUACCCUUCUCUUCAAUAGCCGUCUUAACUAUUCUUUACAGCCUGUGGCUCUUAAACAUGCAUGCUCGUUUGAAUAGAAUAUUCUGUCCAUUCCCGUUUCGCUGGAGCCUCUCACAUUCUCUGGGAAGCAGCACCAUGUAGUGGAAAAGAACACGUGGUCUUUGGAGUCAGAUAGUCUAGAGUUUGAAUCCUUGAUGUACCACUUACUUGCUGGACUUCAAGCAAAAUGCUUGUCCUCUCUCUCUCAAUUUCGUCUUCCAUUAAAUGAGGAUAAUAAAGUCUAAAGGGUGAAAUGAGAUGAUGUAUAUAAACACCUAACAAGGUUAGAUGCAAUGUGAUAUGUAGGUGUGGUGGGGUGGGUGAUGAUAUAUGUUGAUCAUCUUUUAUUUCCAAUGUAGAUAUUCACAGUAGAUCUCACUGUAGUCUGGGGACUUUGGUUUUCUGCAGCUCAACAGUAACGACUGUCUUUUUGACUCUUUGUUUUUUGACUGUUUGAAAAGUGAAACAGGAAAGUACAUCUCCCUUUAGAGAAACUGACUUUAAAUCUUUAUAUUUUUAUACUUUGUAUUGACUAUUUAGUGGAGGAGCUUAACUUACUUUCCUAUAUUUUGGCUUGUUUUGUUGUGUGGGUGGGGAAGUCCAUGAUAAAAGUGUGAGUUUAGAUAUGUAUGUCUUAGUCCUGCCUGAAUUCUUAGUUGUUCAUUUAAAAAAUAAAAACAAAAAAAAAACAGAUUGAGUCUGUUUAAAA
This is a long non-coding RNA of Sapajus apella (tufted capuchin), 3962 nucleotides long. RefSeq lists it as uncharacterized. NCBI's taxonomy places the organism in Eukaryota, Metazoa, Chordata, Mammalia, Primates, Cebidae. The record is from RefSeq and is a predicted model, not a curated record. The transcript is spliced from 2 exons.